AAUGUAUAUAUAUGAUUGUAGUUA
This 24-nucleotide non-coding RNA is filed under the name Arabidopsis thaliana (thale cress). The record is from RNAcentral. Lineage: Eukaryota; Viridiplantae; Streptophyta; Magnoliopsida; Brassicales; Brassicaceae.